This 443-nucleotide ribosomal RNA is filed under the name uncultured bacterium. RNAcentral describes it as "partial 16S ribosomal RNA". It matches the Rfam family "Bacterial small subunit ribosomal RNA", at positions 338 to 795 of the family's 1533-position model. The record is from RNAcentral.
CCUACGUGAGGCUGCAGUGGGGAAUAUUGGGCAAUGGGCGCAAGCCUGACCCAGCAACGCCGCGUGAAGGAAGAAGGCUUUCGGGUUGUAAACUUCUUUUCUCAGGGACGAAGCAAGUGACGGUACCUGAGGAAUAAGCCACGGCUAACUACGUGCCAGCAGCCGCGGUAAUACGUAGGUGGCAAGCGUUAUCCGGAUUUACUGGGUGUAAAGGGCGUGUAGGCGGGAAAGCAAGUCAGAUGUGAAAACCAUGGGCUCAACCUGUGGCCUGCAUUUGAAACUGUUUUUCUUGAGUACUGGAGAGGCAGACGGAAGUCAUAGUGUAGCGGUGAAAUGCGUAGAUAUUAGGAGGAACACCAGUGGCGAAGGCGGUCUGCUGGACAGCAACUGACGCUGAGGCGCGAAAGCGUGGGGAGCAAACAGGAUUAGAUACCCCUGUAGUC